CCUACGGGUGGCUGCAGUGGGGAAUAUUGCACAAUGGGGGAAACCCUGAUGCAGCGACGCCGCGUGAGUGAAGAAGUAUUUCGGUAUGUAAAGCUCUAUCAGCAGGGACGAGACAAGACGGUACCUGACUAAGAAGCACCGGCUAACCACGUGCCAGCAGCCGCGGUAAUACGUAGGGGGCAAGCGUUCUCCGGAAUCACUGGGUGGAAAGGGAGCGUAGACGGUAGUGGAAUCCUGAAGUGAAAGGCGGGGGCCCAACCCCUGGACUGCUUUGGAAACUGUACGUCUGGAGUGCAGGAGAGGUAAGUGGAAUUCCUAGUGUAGCGGUGAAAUGCGUAGAGAUUAGGAGGAACACCAGUGGCGAAGGCGGCUUACUGGACUGUAACUGACGUUGAGGCUCGAAAGCGUGGGGAGCAAACAGGAUUAGAUACCCGGGUAGUC
RNAcentral lists this ribosomal RNA (441 nucleotides) under uncultured bacterium. RNAcentral's name for it is "partial 16S ribosomal RNA". It matches the Rfam family "Bacterial small subunit ribosomal RNA", at positions 338 to 795 of the family's 1533-position model. The record is from RNAcentral.